This 468-nucleotide ribosomal RNA is filed under the name uncultured bacterium. Its description in RNAcentral is "partial 16S ribosomal RNA". It matches the Rfam family "Bacterial small subunit ribosomal RNA", at positions 28 to 507 of the family's 1533-position model. The record is from RNAcentral.
GACGAACGCUGGCGGCAUGCUUUACACAUGCAAGUCGAACGGAAAGACCCUGCUUUUGUGGAGUGCUCGGGUGGCGAGCGGGUGAGUGACAAGUGAAUAACCUGCCCUUGACUUUGGGAUAACUUCGGGAAACUAGGGCUAAUACCGGAUAAGAGCUCCUGCUGCGUGGUGGGGGUUGGAAAGUUUCGGCGGUUGGGGAUGGAUGCGCGGCUUAUCAUAUUGUUGGUGGGGUAGUGGCUUACCAAGGCUUUGACGGGUGUCCGGCAUGAGAGGGUGACCGGCCACAUUGGUACUGCGAGACGGCCCAGACUCCUACGGUAGGCAGCAGUGGGGAAUCUGGCACAAUGGGGGGAAGCCUGAUGCAGCAACGUUGCGUUUGUGAUGACGGUUCUGGGGUGGUAAACCGGCUCCGCCUGUUACGAAGCGUGAGUGACGGUAACGGGUAAAGAAGCACCGGCUAACUACGUG